Molecule: non-coding RNA, 1446 nt
Organism: Nicotiana tabacum (common tobacco)
Lineage: Eukaryota; Viridiplantae; Streptophyta; Magnoliopsida; Solanales; Solanaceae
Source: RefSeq, a predicted model, not a curated record
AAUUAGUCGAAAACCAAAAGACUAAGGAGUUGAAAACUACAAAAAAUACAGAGACCUACGCAAAAGGCUAAAAAAGCUGGAGAAUCAGCCAUUACACCCUAAAAGGUCUUCUUCUUCAUUAGAAAUAAAAACCAGCAGCCCUUAAGAAAAUCUUGAGCAGCCAUACACGUAGGAGACAAAACCAAAGAGAGGUCAGCCGCAAAAACCAAGCGAGACCCCUCCCCAGCUUCUUCUUCAUUAGGAUACAAGAUAAAACCCUAAUAGCCUAAGGAAAAUAGGAGCGGCUAAGACUUAGCACACCCAUGACCUUUCUCCUUCACUUCACGCCAAACGACCCCAUCUCCCACAACUGAACGGAACUUCACACACACGCACACGCUGAAAACAGUUGAAUCCAUCUUGGAACUCGUUUGCAAGAUCUGUUCAGCGCCAGAUAUUGAAGUGUUGAGUUCGUAGAGGUUCGGUGCGUCGAGGUCAUACGGCGAGGAAGAAGAUCGAUCUUCAGAUCUGCUUUGCCCAAAAAUUAUAUUACUGGAGUUCUGCUGAGGAUGCCAUAAUCAAACAUACUUGGAAAAAAGUGGCAUCUACCUUGUACACUAAAAAGUUGUACGUUUGGCGAAAAUUUAGAACCAGACCUACUUUUGUUAAAGAGCAUAUAUGGGAAAGCUGGCAGGCACACUGGCCCUUGGAAAAGUGGCUUGAAAGAUCUCGUGUCGCCCCUCAAAAUCGGUGUAGCGAGACUGGUGGUCCAGGCACUGGUCCAAGCAAGCAUACCGGUGGUUCUAGGUCUACAGUGGAGAAUACUAUAAAAUUGGCAAUAGAAUUACGCCGUCCAGCAAAUUCAUGGGAUAUAUUUAAGAAGCUGCAUAAAAGAAAGGAUGGGAACUUUGUGAAUACCAAGUCUAAGACCGUUGGUGUAAGUUUCUUUUAUAAUAUUUCAUCAUUUUAGUUGAGAAUGAAUAUGAGGAAUAUUACUGGUGCAAUUCACUUAUUUGAAAGCUUCUUCACAUCAUCUCAUUUCUUGUUUAAUUUCUUGUUGUGAUGUAGUAAUGAAACACAUAUUGUGACUUAUUCAACUUCUUAUUAUGCUUCAAAGAAUCAGCUUAUAAGUCACUAAGUAUAAGUUUAUUUUUACUUAAGAAGAAUAUCAGUUGAAAGCUUGUGAUAGCAUCUAUUUUGGUCUAGUUUUUUUAUUCUAAUCUUGGAAAUAUAAUCCUAUGAGUCUAUGACUGUAUUAGAAAAAAUUGAGUUUACAUAUUAAAGUGAUUGGAAAAUGACGAGUCAUGACACGUAGACUAGUCAAAGAGUUAUGAUUUGCAAAGAGGCACGAGUUGUAACAGAUAGAAGUAGAGGCAUAAGAGGAGGCACGAGCAGAUACUCAAAAGAUUCAACGUCCGUACCUAUUUAAGUCCAAGAAUCAAGGAGAAUGAAUCUGACAGUACAAGA